Molecule: transfer RNA, 72 nt
Filed under: Capra hircus (goat)
Lineage: Eukaryota; Metazoa; Chordata; Mammalia; Artiodactyla; Bovidae
Also listed under: 1 other name
Rfam family: tRNA
About the family: Transfer RNA (tRNA) molecules are approximately 80 nucleotides in length. Their secondary structure includes four short double-helical elements and three loops (D, anti-codon, and T loops).
Source: Rfam by way of RNAcentral
UCCCUGGUGGCUCAGAUGGUAAAGUAUCUGCCUGCAGUGCAAGAGGCCCAGGUUUGAUCCCUGGAUUGGGAA